UACUAUGGAAGGGUCGGCCAGAGACAGAGGUGUGACCAAGGGUUGGCAUUCUUCAGGUGUCAGAGCCGAGGUGCUCAGAAACAGCCCCACUACCAGGAGAUGACUGCUGAUCCACAGAUUCAUGAUGCUACAGCUGAUCAGCUUCGGAAUGUAACUAGAAGAGAUCUCAGGUGAUGGCUGCACGACACAAAAGCAGCGAUGACUGAGCUUCACCAAGCUGGUCAGCCUUUAUAGAAGCGAAGCCUUUUUAAAAAAAAAUUUGCCCAGAGUUGACCAACCCAUAUUCUAUAGCCAGCAUUCCUCUCUGCAAGUUCAACAGGGAUAUCAGGGUUUCCUGUUGUUGUAGGAUUUCAUAACCACACUGUUGGUUUUGUGUAGUAAUCAGUGACUGAUUUGUUGAAGGGUCGUUUACUGUCAUAAGCACAUGGCAUAUUUUUCACAACUUGUUUAUGAAAAUGGACAAAGUGCAAAAUGGGUGGUCUGGGGGCCCCAGGCAGUCCCAUGUAGACUUUUCCAUACUUCCAGCUAAAAAAUACAGUAUUGAUGUGCCAAAUUUCAGGUGCUCUAACAUCAUAAGAGACAGAGAUAUGGCAAAAAUGACUAUCUAAGGUUGCAGUGUAGUGUUUUGAGAUGCUAAAAUGGUAAUGUGGAUUCAUUGCUAGGACCAUAAAAAAUUUGUGUGAAAUUGUGCCUAUACGUGGACAUUUUGUGUGUAAAGUCUACAUGUCAUGGUGCUGUAAUAAUAUGGAAAGUGCAGUGUACUGCACACAAAAUGCCCACACAAAGACCUCUUUACACUUACAUUUUCAUUGUAUGUAUCCACAUCACCAUUUCAGGAUCUCAAUACAACAAUAAAUUGCAACCUUGGCUCAUCAUUCUUGUCAGUUCCCGGUAUGUGGAAGGAAUCCACAGUGGUAGCUGUGGCAAUAGUCAGGUCUCCGAAAUCUUUGAAUGGCUAUCACCCUGUGGCCUUGACAUCCCUCGUUAUGAAUACAUUUAAACACAUUGUCAAAUCUGAACUCUGAAGCCCCGUUUCCACCAAAGCAUCAGAGAGAUAGAGGCCAAAGAAAGAACAACAGAAAUCGUUUUGCCAAACGAUAGUUGUAAAAUUUCGCUUACCUUUGUUGUUUUGCCGUGAAAAGUCUAUUCUACCGGUAAAACACAGUACAUCCUGUUAGACCAACAUGUUGUGCUGCAUUCAAAUGCAAUAGUACACAACUGCAGCCGUGGUACAAACCACGCCCCCUACAAACCAUGCCCACAAUGCUAAACUAUGCUAAACAGAAGAAGAAGAAGAACGAAGAGCGCGAAGAGCGCGAAGAGCUCGAAGAGCGCGAAGAUCAGCGAAGAUGGCGAUGCCGACACAGGUAAUGCUGCGAAUCUAUGUGUGGUAUCUCCAUCAUAUCAUAAAUGGGCAUCUUGGAUAGGUCCACAGACCAGGGCAAACAACAUUGUAUUCAACACAGAAUACAUGAAGGUUCAAGGCAGAAAGCAGGCAAACCCAGCAGACCAGGCAGAAAUGGAUGUUACAGAGGACAGAUUGAUAAAUGAAAUUACGAACUUGAAGGUGAGAUUAGCUUCUAUAUUUUCCCCUGAAAUGGUAAUAUUUAUUAGGUGCAUAUUUGUGCACAACAAACUUGAGUAUAAGCAAUGCAUUCAAUGCAAUUUCUGCUAUCAUCUUUGCAUUAAAGCUUAUGUGGCUGUUCAAAUAUUUGUUCAUGUUUUCACAGGUUGAGGCAGUGCGAAAGUGCCAAACAGUGUGGCCUUGGCUCAACAGGAUCCAAAAUGGAUCUUGUCAUUCGCUUGAGAGACCAGAUGAAAAGCCGCAGCGCUUAUGACAAGGUUUUCUAAAAAGUCUGGGGUGCGUCUGGUAAGUUUAUCAAAAAAACAAAACAACAACAAUAUUUGCUUAGAAUAAAAUGUAUGUAAUAAACAGUAUUUUUAACACUAUCAAAGUACAAUGUGAUUCAGAGGAAACACUUAUAUGUAUUUUUCCAUCUCUUUUUUUUUCAUGUUAAAGUGAUAGUUCAGGUUUUUGGACAUGAAGUUGUGUGAAACGCUGACCAUCU
This is a long non-coding RNA of Epinephelus moara (kelp grouper), 2069 nucleotides long. RefSeq lists it as uncharacterized. The record is from RefSeq and is a predicted model, not a curated record. Lineage: Eukaryota; Metazoa; Chordata; Actinopteri; Perciformes; Serranidae. The transcript is spliced from 3 exons.